CAGAAGAUAGUUUAAAAAAUUUUAAUUUUGGAGAUUAAAGAUAAGAAAUUAUUUUCUUUCUUCUGA
Molecule: transfer RNA, 66 nt
Filed under: Ochthebius remotus
Lineage: Eukaryota; Metazoa; Arthropoda; Insecta; Coleoptera; Hydraenidae
Description: tRNA-Pro
Source: RNAcentral